This 468-nucleotide ribosomal RNA is filed under the name uncultured bacterium. RNAcentral's name for it is "partial 16S ribosomal RNA". It matches the Rfam family "Bacterial small subunit ribosomal RNA", at positions 28 to 507 of the family's 1533-position model. The record is from RNAcentral.
GACGAACGCUGGCGGCGUGCUUAACACAUGCAAGUCGAACGGAAAGGCCCUGCUUUUGUGGGGUGCUCGAGUGGCGAACGGGUGAGUAACACGUGAGUAACCUGCCCUUGACUUUGGGAUAACUUCAGGAAAUUGGAGCUAAUACCGGAUAGGAGCUCCUGCUGCAUGGUGGGGGUUGGAAAGUUUCGGCGGUUGGGGAUGGACUCGCGGCUUAUCAGCUUGUUGGUGGGGUAGUGGCUUACCAAGGCUUUGACGGGUAGCCGGCCUGAGAGGGUGACCGGCCACAUUGGGACUGAGAUACGGCCCAGACUCCUACGGGAGGCAGCAGUGGGGAAUAUUGCACAAUGGGCGGAAGCCUGAUGCAGCAACGCCGCGUGCGGGAUGACGGCCUUCGGGUUGUAAACCGCUUUCGCCUGUGACGAAGCGUGAGUGACGGUAAUGGGUAAAGAAGCACCGGCUAACUACGUG